AAAGGUGGAAUAAGAGAAGGAGCCAAGGUGUAAUAUUUAGGAUCACCGGCCGUACUAAAGGAAGUGGCUCUAUGUAGGGAUGGAACAUAGCAACUGCACCAGCUGGGGGACACCUAGCCAACUGCUCAGACGUGUAGAUGGAAGCAACAGAAAGACUAAAAAUGGGAAACAGAG
Molecule: long non-coding RNA, 174 nt
Organism: Portunus trituberculatus (swimming crab)
Lineage: Eukaryota; Metazoa; Arthropoda; Malacostraca; Decapoda; Portunidae
Exons: 3
Source: RefSeq, a predicted model, not a curated record